RNAcentral lists this ribosomal RNA (497 nucleotides) under uncultured bacterium. RNAcentral describes it as "partial 16S ribosomal RNA". It matches the Rfam family "Bacterial small subunit ribosomal RNA", at positions 28 to 507 of the family's 1533-position model. The record is from RNAcentral.
GAUGAACGCUGGCGGCGUGCCUAAUACAUGCAAGUCGAGCGAAAAGGCGAUGAGCUUGCUCCGCUGACGUGAGCGGCGCGCGGGAGAAUCACACGUGUAUCACCUCCCUAUAAGUCUGGGAACACUUCGGGAAACGGGCGCAUAUACCGUAUAAGAUAUUGCUCCGCAGGGGGGAAUGGUAAGAGACGGUUUUGCUGUCUGGUCUAGAGGGAUACGGGCCGCAUUAGCUGGUUGGGAAGUUAACGGCUUACCAAGGGAAGUAUGCGUAGCCGACGUGAGAGGGGGAUAGGCGACACUGGAACUGAGACGCGGACCAGACGCCUACGGGAGGCAGCAGUAGGGAAUGGGCCGCAGUGGGCGAAAGCCUGACGGAGCAACGCCGCGUGAGUGAUGAAGGUCUUCGGAUCGUAAAACUCUGUUAUUAGGGAAGAACAAAUUUGUAAGUAGCUAUGCACGUCUUGACGGUACCUAAUCAGAAAGCCACGGCUAACUACGUG